GGAGCUGUGGGAAUCCUUAGCACAGAGGAGCAGAUGAGGUUCCCUAGGAAGAACAUGUAGACUAAAAAGUGCAUCAGGCUGAGAGUUAGCAGAGGGAAAGUACCCACCAGAGGAGACAAAAAAGGUAGAGGAGAAUCGAAGAGAUCUGCAUGUGGAAUCCAAAGAAGAAAGUAACAGACCAGAGUCGCCGGUAUUUUCUUUCCUCUUCAAAACCACUUCUGCUCCAAAGACCAUGAACCUGAACUGAAGAAACGACUCUUUCCUGCUGGUGUGAGAUAAUUCAGUCUCCAUGAUGUCUUAAUCCUGGGCCUCCCUUAAUUGACUUCUAACUGUGCUGAACUGUGGCUGCUAGGAGUUGCAAUGUGGAUCGCAAUUUACAAGGCACUGGAAUCGUUUCUCGUCCUCAAAUUAGUACUGAGCCAUACUCGAGAAAGAUUAAAAAAAAAAAAAAAGGUUUACCUUUCCUGGCUGUCUUGCCAUCUCAAAACGGCCACAGAACUUACUCAGCUUUGAAGAGACUGGAUCCUCCAUUUGAGACCUGAAGACCCUCCAUCAUGCAAGACUGACUGCCUGCCUAUAACUUUGUGGAGAGGCUGGUAUUAACAUACCAGGGCUCAUGGGUGAGCA
Molecule: long non-coding RNA, 627 nt
Organism: Lynx canadensis (Canada lynx)
Lineage: Eukaryota; Metazoa; Chordata; Mammalia; Carnivora; Felidae
Exons: 3
Source: RefSeq, a predicted model, not a curated record